GAUGAACGCUGGCGGCGUGCCUAAUACAUGCAAGUCGAGCGAAGAGACGAGGAGCUUGCUCCUCUGACGUUAGCGGCGGACGGGUGAGUAACACGUGGAUAACCUACCUAUAAGACUGGGAUAACUUCGGGAAACCGGAGCUAAUACCGGAUAAUAUAUUGAACCGCAUGGUUCAAUAGUGAAAGACGCUAUUGCUGCAACCUAUAGUUGGAUCCGCGUCGCUUUAGCUAGUUGGUAGGUUAAGGGCUUACCAAGGCAACGAAGCGUAGCUGACCUGAGAGGUGGAUCGGCCACACUGGAACGGAGACACGGUCAAGAGUCCUACGGAAGGCGGCAGUAGGGAAUCUUGCGCAAUGGGCGAAGGCUUGACGAAGCAACGCGGCGUGAGUGAUGAAGUUCUUCGGAUCGUAAAACUCUGUGAUUGGGGAGGAACAAAUGUGUAAGUAACUGUGCACGUCUUGACGGUACCUAAUCAGAAAGCCACGGCUAACUACGUG
RNAcentral lists this ribosomal RNA (497 nucleotides) under uncultured bacterium. Its description in RNAcentral is "partial 16S ribosomal RNA". It matches the Rfam family "Bacterial small subunit ribosomal RNA", at positions 28 to 507 of the family's 1533-position model. The record is from RNAcentral.